UUGCAGUAUAUGGAGCUUGUGAAAAAUGGAUAAUAAAAUGAGGAAAAGUACUCCAAGCCAUCAGCCAGGUGAUGGAAUUCGCACAAUGGAUUCCACUUCUGUCUUCAGAGUUGCUAAUUUUGAGCUCUAUAUCAAACCUAACAGGUUCAUGAUGGGCUUAGGACUGGUGGCAAUAACUGGUUGUUUGACUUAUAUCGGAUACUUGAAUUGGGUAACUACAAAAGGCUCGGAGCACAAUUAUAUUGCUGUAACAGAAGAUGGUACAAAAUACAUACGCCCAAGAAUUUCGAAAUGGGAAUGAUUAGUUAACUUCAUUGACACAUUUGUGAUAGUAGAAAUAACUCCAUUGUGUAUUCUAACACUGUAUUGCUUUUUAGAACAAGUAUGUGAUGAGCUUAGGACUGGUGGCAAUAAUUUAUAAUGGAUAUUUGAAUUGGGUAACUACAAAAGACUCGGAGAAAAAUAUAUCGCUGCAACAGAGAAUGGUACAAAAUACAUAUACUAAAGAAUUUCAAAAUGGGAAUGAUUAGUUGACCUCAACUGUUAACUGUAACAUAGUACAUAAUUUUUAUAACUAGAAUAAAAAUAUUUAUUUAUGGUUAUGUAUGAUAUAGCCAGUUUUAUGUGAUGUAUCAUUUUGUAUUAAUCUAAAUAUGACCUUAAAAUGAAAUGCUGUACAACACUAAGAUAAAAAGUGAUAUAAAUUUUGUUUCCUGAUUAUAA
Molecule: long non-coding RNA, 723 nt
Organism: Limulus polyphemus (Atlantic horseshoe crab)
Lineage: Eukaryota; Metazoa; Arthropoda; Merostomata; Xiphosura; Limulidae
Exons: 2
Source: RefSeq, a predicted model, not a curated record